Long non-coding RNA from Zalophus californianus (California sea lion), 1403 nucleotides. RefSeq lists it as uncharacterized. Lineage: Eukaryota; Metazoa; Chordata; Mammalia; Carnivora; Otariidae. The record is from RefSeq and is a predicted model, not a curated record. The transcript is spliced from 2 exons.
ACAGCCUCACCAUGAGCUGCUUGAUGAUCUCCUCUCUCUCCUUCAGGCGGGUCUGCAGACGGCCUAUGAGCUGAACGUCCUCUGGUCUGGACGCCCCCUUCCCUGGCUUCUCUCCAGAAUCUUUCAGUCUGUUUGGAGCAGCUGCAGGGCCUUGUGUAUGAUACACACGCUGCCCUCAGUGAAGCGUCAAGAACCAGGGAUGUCACUGGACAAAGGCCUCCGCGGAAAAAUGCUCCCCACCCCAAGCUCAGCGUUGUCGCCGCCACCACUAGGCUAAUGCUGACGUGACUCUGGAGCCAUCUGCUGGCCGAGAUGGAGCGCGGCAUGUGCCAGUUCUUGGGCAGAGCAGCGGGGCAGCUGGUACCCCCAGCCCUUUCAACAUGAAGCUGAAGAGGAAGAACUCUCCGCAUGGUGGGGGGAGGGUUAUGGCUGCACGUGACCUAUGAACUGUAGCUGAUAAGAGGCCAGGACUUUGGGGUGAGGUGACUUGGGAUCUGACCCCUAAUCUGCCUUUUCCUAGCUAUGUGACUUUGGCCAUAGCCUUUCCCUGUGACCUUUGGUUCCCCCUUAUUUAAAAUGGGCAUGAUAACAGAUGGUUGCGAGGAUUCAGUGAGAUAAGGGGAGCCUGGCAUGUGGCAAGUGCCCAUUAGAUGGUAGCCCAUAAAACCUUCCACUCUGGAUUUUGGAUGAUUUGCUUUGUAUUGGAAACAGUGGAGAACACUUUUUAAAGAUCGAAAGCUAAGGGUCAGACAGGUGACAUUUAGAUUCACUCAGUGCUGCUUGACCUUGGGCAAAUGGCUUCACCUGUCACUUUCCAACUGGUCUCUCUGCUGCUAACCCUGACCACCGCCCGCAAGUCUCUUCUCUCAGCAGCCAGAGUGACCCUGUUAGAAGAUAAAUCAGACCAUGUCACUCCUGCUCAAAGCCUUGCAGUGGCUUCCCGGUGCACUCUGAACACAUCCAAACUCCUUCCUGUUCAGUGCAGGGUCUCCUUCAUCCCUCCCAGCUACCCCACCAACCUCAGUUCCUACCACUCACCCUCUCACUUAGUCCUGGCUGUUCAGUCAUGUGAAGCAGGCCCCAGGGCCAUUGCACUUGCUGUUGUCUCUGCUGGGAAUUCUCUUCCUCCAGAUGGCUCACUCCCCGCACCUGCUCGUGCUCAAGUGUCACCUCCUUAGAGAGGCCUUCCUGGCCCACCCUUGCCACUUCCUAGACAUAGAUCCUGUUUUCUUCUACCUUUCGCUACCUGAUAUGAAGUCAAAUAUUUAUUUGCUUCUUUCUUGUCUAAAUACCCAUGUACUCUCUAUGAGAGCAUAGUCGUCGUUUAGUUCCUGGCUCUAACUCCAGAGCCUAAAACAGGGCAGGGCACACAAUAGGCUCUUAAUAAACAUCUGUUGACUAAA